Molecule: non-coding RNA, 158 nt
Filed under: uncultured Clostridium sp.
Lineage: Bacteria; Bacillati; Bacillota; Clostridia; Eubacteriales; Clostridiaceae
Source: RNAcentral
UAGGUGAUGUUUUAAAUAUUUAAAAGGAAAAGUAUAGAAAAUACUGCAGUCCCACCGCUACUGUAUGGAGGAUGAAACCUUGUUUGUAUCACUGGUAAUAUAUCUGGGAAGAUAAGGGAGUAAAAUGAAUCUGAGCCAGGAAGCCUGCCUGACAUUUU